This 65-nucleotide transfer RNA is filed under the name Picumnus innominatus. RNAcentral describes it as "tRNA-Ser". The record is from RNAcentral. Lineage: Eukaryota; Metazoa; Chordata; Aves; Piciformes; Picidae.
GAGGGGAGGUCACCAACAAGAACUGCUAACUCUUGCAUCUGGGCCUAAAACCCCAGUCCCCUUUU